Molecule: ribosomal RNA, 491 nt
Filed under: uncultured bacterium
Lineage: Bacteria
Description: partial 16S ribosomal RNA
Rfam family: Bacterial small subunit ribosomal RNA
Source: RNAcentral
AGUGAACGCUGGCGGUAGGCCUAACACAUGCAAGUCGAACGGCAGCACAGUAAGAGCUUGCUCUUACGGGUGGCGAGUGGCGGACGGGUGAGGAAUACAUCGGAAUCUACUUUUUCGUGGGGGAUAACGUAGGGAAACUUACGCUAAUACCGCAUACGACCUACGGGUGAAAGCAGGGGAUCUUCGGACCUUGCGCGAUUGAAUGAGCCGAUGUCGGAUUAGCUAGUUGGCGGGGUAAAGGCCCACCAAGGAGACGAUCCGGAGCUGGUCUGAGAGGAUGAUCAGCCACACGGGAACUGGGACACGGUCCAGAGUCCUACGGGAGGCAGAAGUGGGGAAUAUGGAACAAUGGGCGCAAGCCUGAUCCAGCCAUACCGCGUGGGUGAAGAAGGCCUUCGGGUUGUAAAGCCAUUUUGUUGGGAAAGAAAAGCAGCAGGUUAAGACCCCGCUGUUCUGACGGUACCCAAAGAAUAAGCACCGGCUAACUUCGU